GGGGGGGGCAAGCGUUGUUCGGAAUUACUGGGCGUAAAGGGCUCGUAGGCGGCCAACUAAGUCAGACGUGAAAUCCCUCGGCUUAACCGGGGAACUGCGUCUGAUACUGGAUGGCUAGAGGUUGGGAGAGGGAUGCGGAAUUCCAGGUGUAGCGGUGAAAUGCGUAGAUAUCUGGAGGAACACCGGUGGCGAAGGCGGCAUCCUGGACCAAUUCUGACGCUGAGGAGCGAAAGCCAGGGGAGCAAACGGGAUUAGAUACCCCGGUAGUCCUGGCCCUAAACGAUGAAUGCUUGGUGUGGCGGGUAUCGAUCCCUGCCGUGCCGAAGCUAACGCAUUAAGCAUUCCGCCUGGGGAGUACGGUCGCAAGGCUG
RNAcentral lists this ribosomal RNA (371 nucleotides) under uncultured bacterium. RNAcentral's name for it is "bacterial SSU rRNA". It matches the Rfam family "Bacterial small subunit ribosomal RNA", at positions 527 to 896 of the family's 1533-position model. The record is from RNAcentral.